Long non-coding RNA from Acanthochromis polyacanthus (spiny chromis), 1559 nucleotides. RefSeq lists it as uncharacterized. The record is from RefSeq and is a predicted model, not a curated record. NCBI's taxonomy places the organism in Eukaryota, Metazoa, Chordata, Actinopteri, Pomacentridae. The transcript has 3 exons.
ACUGUAAUGAAUGGAUUAACAGUGCAUUUGUUUGUUCUUACAUAAGCUUUAAACCCACAGUGGCAUCCUGGCUUUACUUCUAUGGGCAAGGAGCGCAUUGUUAACUCACUGCUUUGUUUGUGGGGUUGCAAGUUUUGUUUAAAAAAUUAUUGCGAUUAGAUUUGUCACAUUUUAGCUCAGUGUCACGCCGUAAUAGAUUUAAAACAUGAUGGUGCAUUACAUAAAUCUGACCGCAACACAAAGAAUAGCAUCAAUUUGUAGAACAACACAGUUAAGAAUCUGAGUCAAAUUUGACAUUGAUUGUUCAUUGAGCCCCUUUUCACUGUAAGGCUCUUUAUCUAUUAUCUUAUCUUGCUCUGACUGAAGUGAUAAGAUCUGGAUGAGCUCAGCUCCAAUGGGCUUCUUCCCAUUUUAGCUGCAGAUUGUCCCAUCGGUGUUUGCCAUUCGUGAACAAAAGUAAAAUCAAAUGCAGAAAUGUUCUUGGUUGGUGUCCACAUGCAGCGCUGUUUCUCACCAAGUAGCAGAGCGUGGAAAGUUUUCAUUGGAUGAGCUACAGCCACAGAGCAAACAUCACAUAAAUAUAGUCAACUCAGAGUGCAUAUAUUUGUGAAACCAGUCAGAAAGUCAGAGUUUACCCAGCUCCAGUGGAUCCUGUCAACAUUAUUACACUCAACAAGGACUGCAAACUAAAGAAUAUGAGGCUCCAAGUUGUUUUCUUGCUCUUUGCUUUCGUGGCUGUGAUCAGUGCAGCACCAGCUCAAAACAACACUACACAAGAGCCAGAUGCGGUUGAAGCUGAAACACCAAAGGAUGACGUGGAAGAGCCCACAAUGGAUGCUUGGCAAGAUGAGGCGCUCAUGAACAAAGAGCUGGGAGAUGAUGUGCUUAUGUUGAUGCUGUUGGAUCUCGGUGGAGCAGAUGAGGGGCUUGGGGCAGCCUUGGUUUGAUUCCAGCUCAUGGCAGUUUGCUGUGUGUCGUCUGUUUUUAUUAUGAAAUUGUUAAUCAGAAGAAUUUUGUUUGUCUGCUGUAAGUAACUGCAAUAAGUCAAGAAACAAUUCUUUUAAUCGAGAGAUAUAUUUGUGAGAGAGUGAUUUGAAUGUUCCUCAGUCAGUGAUCACCACAUCUCGGUUUAUUUUUAAUAUAUAACGUGACCAUGUAUCAUCAAAAACACGUCUGUCAAAUAUUCUGUGGUCACAAUACGCACUUCUCUUAUCUGUUUAUCUUCUUAAAUGUUAAGAAAAACAGGGUUAGCGUCCAAAGCGAUGAUUUAUAACUGAACAUCUCACAGAAAACUCUGACCUUCCAGAGAACACAAUGUACAGACCACAGGGUGAGGAACCUGUCAGCCUCUUUUGCUCCACAGUGUCUGAGAAAUGCGUCAUAUCCAUAAAUUCAUGUGCACAUUUAUCUGCUCUGUCUCUGCAGUGAGACAGCACUACAAGCAUCCUCACGAUCGCCCAGAGUAUGACAGCAGAGAGCAUUAUAGCAACAAUUGUGUUACAGAAAAGGGCAGUAAAAACUUCUGACCAUAUGAAAUAAAAUGAUUUUCUCAGUUUCAA